AGUGAACGCUGGCGGUAGGCCUAACACAUGCAAGUCGAACGGCAGCACAGUAAGAGCUUGCUCUUACGGGUGGCGAGUGGCGGACGGGUGAGGAAUACAUCGGAAUCUACUUUUUCGUGGGGGAUAACGUAGGGAAACUUACGCUAAUACCGCAUACGACCUACGGGUGAAAGCAGGGGAUCUUCGGACCUUGCGCGAUUGAAUGAGCCGAUGUCGGAUUAGCUAGUUGGCGGGGUAAAGGCCCACCAAGGCGACGAUCCGUAGCUGGUCUGAGAGGAUGAUCAGCCACACUGGAACUGAGACACGGUCCAGACUCCUACGGGAGGCAGCAGUGGGGAAUAUUGGACAAUGGGCGCAAGCCUGAUCCAGCCAUACCGCGUGGGUGAAGAAGGCCUUCGGGUUGUAAAGCCCUUUUGUUGGGAAAGAAAAGCAGCAGGUUAAUACCCCGCUGUUCUGACUGUACCCAAAGAAUAAGCGCCGGCUAACUUCGUG
RNAcentral lists this ribosomal RNA (492 nucleotides) under uncultured bacterium. RNAcentral describes it as "partial 16S ribosomal RNA". It matches the Rfam family "Bacterial small subunit ribosomal RNA", at positions 29 to 507 of the family's 1533-position model. The record is from RNAcentral.